Molecule: ribosomal RNA, 274 nt
Filed under: uncultured bacterium
Lineage: Bacteria
Description: partial 16S ribosomal RNA
Rfam family: Bacterial small subunit ribosomal RNA
Source: RNAcentral
AUACGGAGGGUGCAAGCGUUGUUCGGAAUUAUUGGGCGUAAAGCGCGGGUAGGCGGUCUGUUAAGUCUGGUGUGAAAGCCCUGGGCUCAACCCAGGAAGUGCAUUGGAUACUGGCAGACUUGAGUAUGGGAGAGGAAAGCGGAAUUCCGAGUGUAGGAGUGAAAUCCGUAGAUAUUCGGAGGAACACCAGUGGCGAAGGCGGCUUUCUGGACCAAUACUGACGCUGAGACGCGAAAGCGUGGGGAGCAAACAGGAUUAGAAACCCCAGUAGUCC